This 371-nucleotide ribosomal RNA is filed under the name Escherichia coli. RNAcentral describes it as "partial 23S ribosomal RNA". It matches the Rfam family "Bacterial large subunit ribosomal RNA", at positions 1216 to 1589 of the family's 2925-position model. Lineage: Bacteria; Pseudomonadati; Pseudomonadota; Gammaproteobacteria; Enterobacterales; Enterobacteriaceae. The record is from RNAcentral.
AUGCGUUGUUGGGUAGGGGAGCGUUCUGUAAGCCUGUGAAGGUGUGCUGUGAGGCAUGCUGGAGGUAUCAGAAGUGCGAAUGCUGACAUAAGUAACGAUAAAGCGGGUGAAAAGCCCGCUCGCCGGAAGACCAAGGGUUCCUGUCCAACGUUAAUCGGGGCAGGGUGAGUCGACCCCUAAGGCGAGGCCGAAAGGCGUAGUCGAUGGGAAACAGGUUAAUAUUCCUGUACUUGGUGUUACUGCGAAGGGGGGACGGAGAAGGCUAUGUUGGCCGGGCGACGGUUGUCCCGGUUUAAGCGUGUAGGCUGGUUUUCCAGGCAAAUCCGGAAAAUCAAGGCUGAGGCGUGAUGACGAGGCACUACGGUGCUGAA